This 120-nucleotide small RNA is filed under the name Cydia pomonella (codling moth). RNAcentral's name for it is "CpSAT1 satellite sequence transcript". The record is from RNAcentral. Lineage: Eukaryota; Metazoa; Arthropoda; Insecta; Lepidoptera; Tortricidae.
UCUAGAUUGAUGAUGCUCGUCAGGGCAAAUCUAUUGAGCCCGAACACGAUGAGGUUAUGAUGAGUAGUUUAGGAGUUCUGGUGACCAACUCCUGACUCCAUCAUGAGACCCUGGGCCUCA